CAAAACUUUAAACAACGGAUCUCUUGGCUCUGGCAUCGAUGAAGAACGCAGCGAAACGCGAUAAGUAAUGUGAAUUGCAGAAUCCAGUGAAUCAUCGAAUCUUUGAACGCACAUUGCGCCCGCCAGCAUUCUGGCGGGCAUGCCUGUUCGAGC
This 153-nucleotide ribosomal RNA is filed under the name Beauveria bassiana. RNAcentral describes it as "5.8S ribosomal RNA". It matches the Rfam family "5.8S ribosomal RNA". Rfam says of the family: 5.8S ribosomal RNA (5.8S rRNA) is a component of the large subunit of the eukaryotic ribosome. It is transcribed by RNA polymerase I as part of the 45S precursor that also contains 18S and 28S rRNA. Functionally, it is thought that 5.8S rRNA may be involved in ribosome translocation. Lineage: Eukaryota; Fungi; Ascomycota; Sordariomycetes; Hypocreales; Cordycipitaceae. The record is from RNAcentral.